CCUCCUGUCAGCUCCUUUAAGUAGACUCCGCGGGGUAGCGUUCAGUCUUUCGGCGACUGUGAAGUUCGAGAGAUUCCUGCCGGGCCGAGAACGUAGAUCACCUUUUACUCCCCUUCGACCUUUCCCCGAAGCCUUUGAAUAAAAUGGUUUGAUCCCA
Molecule: long non-coding RNA, 157 nt
Organism: Lynx canadensis (Canada lynx)
Lineage: Eukaryota; Metazoa; Chordata; Mammalia; Carnivora; Felidae
Exons: 2
Source: RefSeq, a predicted model, not a curated record